CUACGGUGCUGAAGUAACAAAUGCCCUGCUUCCAGGAAAAGCCUCUAAGCAUCAGGUAACAUUAAAUCGUACCCCAAACCGACACAGGUGGUCAGGUAGAGAAUACCAAGGCGCUUGAGAGAACUCGGGUGAAGGAACUAGGCAAAAUGGUGCCGUAACUUCGGGAGAAGGCACGCUGGUGUGUAGGUGAAGUCCCUGCGGAUGGAGCUGAGACCAGUCGAAGAUACCAGCUGGCUGCAACUGUUUAUUAAAAACACAGCACUGUGCAAACACGAAAGUGGACGUAUACGGUGUGACGCCUGCCCGGUGCCGGAAGGUUAAUUGAUGGGGUUAUCCGUAAGGAGAAGCUCUUGAUCGAAGCCCCGGUAAACGGCGGCCGUAACUAUAACGGUCCUAAGGUAGCGAAAUUCCUUGUCGGGUAAGUUCCGACCUGCACGAAUGGCGUAAUGAUGGCCAGGCUGUCUCCACCCGAGACUCAGUGAAAUUGAACUCGCUGUGAAGAUGCAGUGUACCCGCGGCAAGACGGAAAGACCCCGUGAACCUUUACUAUAGCUUGACACUGAACAUUGAGCCUUGAUGUGUAGGAUAGGUGGGAGGCUUUGAAGCGUGGACGCCAGUCUGCGUGGAGCCAACCUUGAAAUACCACCCUUUAAUGUUUGAUGUUCUAACGUUGGCCCCUGACCGGGGUUGCGGACAGUGUCUGGUGGGUAGUUUGACUGGGGCGGUCUCCUCCCAAAGCGUAACGGAGGAGCACGAAGGUUAGCUAAUCCUGGUCGGACAUCAGGAGGUUAGUGCAAUGGCAUAAGCUAGCUUGACUGCGAGCGUGACGGCGCGAGCAGGUGCGAAAGCAGGUCAUAGUGAUCCGGUGGUUCUGAAUGGAAGGGCCAUCGCUCAACGGAUAAAAGGUACUCCGGGGAUAACAGGCUGAUACCGCCCAAGAGUUCAUAUCGACGGCGGUGUUUGGCACCUCGAUGUCGGCUCAUCACAUCCUGGGGCUGAAGUAGGUCCCAAGGGUAUGGCUGUUCGCCAUUUAAAGUGGUACGCGAGCUGGGUUUAGAACGUCGUGAGACAGUUCGGUCCCUAUCUGCCGUGGGCGCUGGAGAAUUGAGGGGGGCUGCUCCUAGUACGAGAGGACCGGAGUGGACGCAUCACUGGUGUUCGGGUUGUCAUGCCAAUGGCACUGCCCGGUAGCUAAAUGCGGAAGAGAUAAGUGCUGAAAGCAUCUAAGCACGAAACUUGCCCCGAGAUGAGUUCUCCCUGAGACUUUAAGUCUCCUGAAGGAACGUUAAAGACGAUGACGUUGAUAGGCCGGGUGUGUAAGCGCAGCGAUGCGUUGAGCUAACCGGUACUAAUGAACCGUGAGGCUUAACCUU
RNAcentral lists this ribosomal RNA (1373 nucleotides) under Klebsiella pneumoniae. Its description in RNAcentral is "bacterial LSU rRNA". It matches the Rfam family "Bacterial large subunit ribosomal RNA", at positions 1577 to 2925 of the family's 2925-position model. Lineage: Bacteria; Pseudomonadati; Pseudomonadota; Gammaproteobacteria; Enterobacterales; Enterobacteriaceae. The record is from RNAcentral.